GAGAGAGAGAGAGGGAGAGAGAGAGAAUAUUUCUGCUUUUACCUAUUUUAGUUGUAGGACUUUUCUGAAGAAGGUUAAUUUGAACAAAAAGUUUUUUGACAAAAACUUAUUCAAGAAAGCAGAGAUCAAGAUUGUUGAAGCAAAUUGUUCAGUUUUACACAGCCAAGUAAAGGAAAUUCAGAGCAAGAAUUUAGAACAAACCCAAUCUGGUGUCUCUCCAAUACUGAUGGCGAUAGGAGAUAGGGGCAGGAGGAUAGAAAGUGGGCAAGGAAAGGUGCUUCAGGAAUCAAAGAAAAAAAUGUUGGGAAUUUUGUAUGGGGUGGAGCCAUAGGAUUAUAUGUGGACUUUAAAAACAUUUGUAUGGAAGAUAAGACCCAGAAACAGCAAAUCACAUAAAACAAUUGUGGAACUCAAGAAUUAUACAGUGAACACCAUUGCCUUCACCAUCCAGGUCAAGAACAGAAAUUUUCAGCCUCCGCAGAAGACCUUCAGUUUUAGAGGCCAGAAAUUCAAAAUGAAGGCAUUGGCAGAGUUGGUUCCUCUGGGGGCUCUAAGAGAAGAUUCAUUUCAUGCCUACUUCCCAGCCUCUGGUGAGUGCUGGCAAUCUUUGGCAUUUCUUGAUGUGUAGCUGUCUCUACCUCCAAUCUCUGUCUCUGACUUCACAUAGUCUUUUCCUAUGUGUUUAUGUGUCUAAAAUCUCACUCUCCUUUCUCUUAUAAUUGGAUUAAAGGCUCAGCCUAAAUCCAGGAUGAUACCAUCCUAAGAUCUUUAACUUAAUUACAUCUGCAAAGACCCU
This 796-nucleotide long non-coding RNA is filed under the name Homo sapiens (human). RNAcentral describes it as "HSALNT0022494". Lineage: Eukaryota; Metazoa; Chordata; Mammalia; Primates; Hominidae. The record is from RNAcentral.